This 200-nucleotide long non-coding RNA is filed under the name Zostera marina. RNAcentral's name for it is "long non-coding RNA (ZMAR_LNC003250)". Lineage: Eukaryota; Viridiplantae; Streptophyta; Magnoliopsida; Alismatales; Zosteraceae. The record is from RNAcentral.
CCUAUAAAAGGGGUCCUUGGGGGACCUCUAUCCUCAACUCACAUCCUCUUGACUCACACUCCCACUAGAGCAAACCAAGGAGCCCGAAUCGCCUACUCCCACGUGAGUCGCCGAUUCCCCUCCUCUUCUGCAGGUGUUUGACGUAGAGCGCGCGUCGUGGACUCCACAGCCUCCGGCUCAUCUCGCCACCCCGCGAGCCC